CAGUCGCCGCGGUAAAACGUAGGGGGCAAGCGUUAUCCGGAUUCAUUGGGCGUAAAGCGCUCGUAGGCGGUCUGUUAGGUCGGGAGUUAAAUCCGGGGGCUCAACCCCCGCUCGCUCUCGAUAUCGGCAGACUUGAGUUUGGUAGGGGAAGGUGGAAUUCCUAGUGUAGCGGUGGAAUGCGCAGAUAUUAGGAAGAACACCAGUGGCGAAGGCGGCCUUCUGGGCCAUAACUGACGCUGAGGAGCGAAAGCUAGGGGAGCAAACAGGAUUAGAUACCCCAGUAGUCCCUGUCUCUUAUACA
RNAcentral lists this ribosomal RNA (301 nucleotides) under uncultured bacterium. RNAcentral's name for it is "partial 16S ribosomal RNA". It matches the Rfam family "Bacterial small subunit ribosomal RNA", at positions 509 to 808 of the family's 1533-position model. The record is from RNAcentral.